This 394-nucleotide ribosomal RNA is filed under the name Pedobacter sp. RNAcentral describes it as "bacterial SSU rRNA". It matches the Rfam family "Bacterial small subunit ribosomal RNA", at positions 1 to 392 of the family's 1533-position model. Lineage: Bacteria; Pseudomonadati; Bacteroidota; Sphingobacteriia; Sphingobacteriales; Sphingobacteriaceae. The record is from RNAcentral.
UUUUACAAUGGAGAGUUUGAUCCUGGCUCAGGAUGAACGCUAGCGGCAGGCCUAAUACAUGCAAGUCGAGGGGUAGAUGGAGCUUGCUCCAUUGAGACCGGCGCACGGGUGCGUAACGCGUAUGCAACCUACCUUUAUCUGGGGGAUAGCCCGGAGAAAUUCGGAUUAAUACCGCAUAAAAUCACAGUAUCGCAUGAUACAAUGAUCAAACAUUUAUGGGAUGAAGAUGGGCAUGCGUGUCAUUAGUUAGUUGGCGGGGUAACGGCCCACCAAGACGACGAUGACUAGGGGAUCUGAGAGGAUGACCCCCCACACUGGUACUGAGACACGGACCAGACUCCUACGGGAGGCAGCAGUAAGGAAUAUUGGUCAAUGGAGGCAACUCUGAACCAGC